GAUGAACGCUGGCGGCGUGCCUAAUACAUGCAAGUCGAGCGAACGGACGAGAAGCUUGCUUCUCUGAUGUUAGCGGCGGACGGGUGAGUAACACGUGGAUAACCUACCUAUAAGACUGGGAUAACUUCGGGAAACCGGAGCUAAUACCGGAUGAUAUUUUGAACCGCAUGGUUCAAAAGUGAAAGACGGUCUUGCUGUCACUUAUAGAUGGAUCCGCGCUGCAUUAGCUAGUUGGUAAGGUAACGGCUUACCAAGGCAACGAUGCAUAGCCGACCUGAGAGAGUGAUCGGCCACACUGGAGCUGAGACACGGUCCAGACUCCUACGGGAGGCAGCAGUAGGGAAUCUUCCGCAAUGGGCGAAAGCCUGACGGAGCAACGCCGCGUGAGUGAUGAAGGUCUUCGGAGCGAGAAACUCUGUUAUUAGGGAAGAACAUAUGUGUAAGUAACUGUGCACAUCGUGACGGUACCUAAUCAGAAAGCCACGGCUAACUACGUG
This 497-nucleotide ribosomal RNA is filed under the name uncultured bacterium. RNAcentral's name for it is "partial 16S ribosomal RNA". It matches the Rfam family "Bacterial small subunit ribosomal RNA", at positions 28 to 507 of the family's 1533-position model. The record is from RNAcentral.